Molecule: RNA transcript, 1877 nt
Organism: Zingiber officinale
Lineage: Eukaryota; Viridiplantae; Streptophyta; Magnoliopsida; Zingiberales; Zingiberaceae
Exons: 9
Source: RefSeq, a predicted model, not a curated record
UGCUGUCUGCUUCCCCACUGCUACUGACACACCUUCAUCGCCAUUAAAAGCGACGCCCAGCACACUCCUAGCUAGCCUUGUCCUACCACAAUCCAAUCCCCCCUCCUCCACUCCUCCUCCUCCUCCUCUCUCUCUCUCUCUCUCUCUCUCUCUCUCAAGCGGAGGAGUCCGAAAUGGGAGGCGCCCCGCCGCUCUCCGUCCCUCCGAAUCUCCUCGCCGCUUCCCUCUUCCUCCUCUGUCUACUGAACUUCUGCAAUCUAGACAAAAUAUUGGUUAAUAGCUUUGAACUAGCGAAUCCGGUGAUGGAGGCAAAGGAAACAAAUUUAUUGCCUGAUACUUCUCCAAACAGUGCUCCACAACCUUUUAUUCCUUUACUUGCUCCUUCCCCCAUGGCAACACCAUUUUUCCACAAUAGCACUCCAAAAUUAUCAGGACAAUGUUCAUUGAACUUUUCUGCAGUUGACAAUUUGUUAAGAACAACUGCUGUUGAUUGUUGGGCCUCCUUCGCUCCUUUCUUAGCCAAUGUUAUUUGUUGUCCGCAGUUCGAGGCUACCCUUGUUAUUCUAAUUGGACAAGCAAGUAAAGAUUCAGGUUUACUUGCGCUGGACUCUGUUCAUGCAAAUUAUUGCCUAUCAGAUAUUCAACAGAUUCUUGGAAGUCAGGGUGUCCCUAGUGACCUUCAUGAUAUUUGUUCCAUCCACUCUUCUAACCUCUCUGAAGGAUCCUGCCCAAUUAAUGAUACCAUUGGGUUUGAGAGUGUUGUUGACUCUUCUAAACUCCUUGCUGCAUGUUCAAAGGUUGAUGCUGUGAAUGAAUGCUGCAGACAAAUCUGUCAAAGUGCCAUCAAUGAAGCUGCAAAAAACCUUGUCUUGAAGGAUGGCGGAUUGAUGACGAAUAUGGAAAUUAAUGAUACAACAGUGGAGUAUUCAUCUACUGUGAACAGCUGUAAAAACAUUGUCCUUAGGUGGCUAUCUAGUAGACUUGAUUCUUCAUCUGCAAAGCAAGUGUUGAGAGGACUAUCAAACUGUAAUGUUAACGGAGCUUGUCCGUUAAAUUUCCCAGACACCAAGGAUGUUGCCAGAGAUUGUUCUGAUGGGAUUAAGAAUAAUAGUGCCUGCUGUCAUGCUAUGGAUAAUUACGUCUCACAUUUACAAAAGCAAAGUUUCAUUACCAAUUUGCAAGCUUUGGGUUGUGCCGCCUCACUUGGUAAAAAAUUGCAAAACAUGAGUGUCAGAACAAAUGUUUAUAGUUUAUGCCAGAUAACUCUCAAGGAUUUUUCACUCCAAGUUGGGACCCAAGAGUCUGGAUGCCUUCUUCCAAGCUUACCAUCAGAUGCAACGUUUGACCCUUACUCAGGGAUCAGUUUCACUUGUGAUUUGAAUGAUAAUAUUGCAGCUCCUUGGCCAUCUGCAUCUCAACCAUCUUCGUCUACCUGUAACAAGUCUGUUAAGUAUCCUAAUUAUCCUGCACUUCCAGCAGCGACCUCUUCAUCUUUGGGUCUAGUGCGAACCUGUGUGAAAUUUACCAUGAUCAUUUGUUCAUUUCUGCCGCUUGCGAUGAUGCUAUAAUCCUCUUUAGUUACAUUGUUCUAAUACUAAGUUUGCUGCCCCCUGGCCUGUUCAUGCUGGUGCUGUAUCGCCAAAGCUGAAAAGAAGGGGCGCGGAUGGUAAGACCUGUUAGAAAAUGAUCUAUGAAGUGCUCCGAGUGUUUUUGAACUGUCGGUGAACGACGAAAGUGAAAAAGAAUGAAUGCCAGUGCAUUGCAGGAUCGAGAAUGCAAAAGGGUGUGUGUUAGUUUUGUGAAAUUUGUUCUUCAUGUAAAUAUGACUGACUUUUGUGCUUGUCAAUUGGUAAUGCAACUGCACUUCACUUGUUGCU